GGUUAUAGCUCAGUGGUAGAACAUGUGUUUAGCAUUCACAAGACCCUCAGUUCAAUCUUCAGCACCA
This 67-nucleotide transfer RNA is filed under the name Marmota monax (woodchuck). Its description in RNAcentral is "tRNA.Ala". Lineage: Eukaryota; Metazoa; Chordata; Mammalia; Rodentia; Sciuridae. The record is from RNAcentral.